RNAcentral lists this long non-coding RNA (354 nucleotides) under Solanum pimpinellifolium. RNAcentral describes it as "long non-coding RNA (SPIM_LNC000015)". Lineage: Eukaryota; Viridiplantae; Streptophyta; Magnoliopsida; Solanales; Solanaceae. The record is from RNAcentral.
UUUGACUUGAGUGGUAAUGUGACCCCUAUCAGAGUCACCGAGAAGCUUGGACAGGCCAAAAUCAGCAACUCUUGCGUUUAAGCGAUCAUCCAGCAAAAUAUUGUUGGACUUGAUGUCCCUGUGUAUGAUGGGAGGAUUGACAAGGUCAUGCAAAUACUGUAAGCCUCUGGCUGCUCCAACAGCUAUCCUCAGUCGCCUCAUCCAAUCUAACCUGAUCCCNUUAAGCGAUCAUCCAGCAAAAUAUUGUUGGACUUGAUGUCCCUGUGUAUGAUGGGAGGAUUGACAAGGUCAUGCAAAUACUGUAAACCUCUGGCUGCUCCAACGGCUAUCCUCAGUCGCCUCAUCCAAUCUAAC